Molecule: transfer RNA, 95 nt
Filed under: Sulfuriroseicoccus oceanibius
Lineage: Bacteria; Pseudomonadati; Verrucomicrobiota; Verrucomicrobiia; Verrucomicrobiales; Verrucomicrobiaceae
Description: Verrucomicrobiales bacterium T37 tRNA-Sec
Rfam family: Selenocysteine transfer RNA
Source: RNAcentral
GGAGAGUGAUGGGUGCCUGGUGGCCUCCGCGGUCUUCAAAACCGUUGUGACUUCUAACCGGAGUCAGGUUGGUUCGAUUCCUUCCCUCUCCGCCA